RNAcentral lists this unclassified non-coding RNA (261 nucleotides) under Imaia gigantea. RNAcentral describes it as "partial contains 5.8S ribosomal RNA, internal transcribed spacer 2, and large subunit ribosomal RNA". Lineage: Eukaryota; Fungi; Ascomycota; Pezizomycetes; Pezizales; Morchellaceae. The record is from RNAcentral.
CGCACAUUGCGCUCUCCGGUAGCCCGGAGAGCAUGCCUGUCCGAGCGUCAUUUCAGUUGAUCAAGCACCGCUUGGUUUUGGGGGUUGGCGCCCUUGAGAGUUAACAUUCGAAAAGGGCGGCCCUUAAAUCGGUGGGCGGUCGCGUCGACCUUGAAGCGUAGUAGAUUUCUUCCCCGCUUUACUUGGUCAGACGAUGACUUGCCGCCAAUGUAACUUUCUCAGGUUGACCUCGGAUCAGACAAGGGUACCCGCUGAACUUAA